AACGAACGCUGGCGGCAUGCUUAACACAUGCAAGUUGAACGCAGAAUAGAACUUCGGUUCUAUUGCUGAGUAGCAGACGGGUGAGUAACGCGUGGGAAUCUACCUUCUUGUGAGGAAUAACUGAGGGAAACUUCAGCUAAUACCGCAUAAGCUCUACGGAGGAAAGGCUUCGGCCGCAGGAAGAGGAGCCCGCGUCAGAUUAGGUAGUUGGUGGGGUAAAGGCCUACCAAGCCAAUGAUCUGUAGCUGGUCUGAGAGGAUGAUCAGCCACACUGGGACUGGGACCCGGCCCAGACUCCUGCGGGAGGCAGCAGUGGGGAAUAUUGGACAAUGGGGGAAACCCUGAUCCAGCAAUGCCGCGUGAAUGAAGAAGGCCUUAGGGUUGUAAAGUUCUUUCACCUGUGAAGAUAAUGACGGUAGCAGGAGAAGAAGCCCCGGCUAACUCCGUGCCAGCAGCCGCCGUAA
RNAcentral lists this ribosomal RNA (464 nucleotides) under uncultured bacterium. RNAcentral describes it as "partial 16S ribosomal RNA". It matches the Rfam family "Bacterial small subunit ribosomal RNA", at positions 29 to 523 of the family's 1533-position model. The record is from RNAcentral.